This 292-nucleotide ribosomal RNA is filed under the name Flavobacterium psychrophilum. RNAcentral describes it as "partial 16S ribosomal RNA". It matches the Rfam family "Bacterial small subunit ribosomal RNA", at positions 1 to 297 of the family's 1533-position model. The record is from RNAcentral. Lineage: Bacteria; Pseudomonadati; Bacteroidota; Flavobacteriia; Flavobacteriales; Flavobacteriaceae.
UACGAUGAAGAGUUUGAUCCUGGCUCAGGAUGAACGCUAGCGGCAGGCUUAACACAUGCAAGUCGAGGGGUAGAAUAGCAAUAUUUGAGACCGGCGCACGGGUGCGUAACGCGUAUGCAAUCUACCUUUUACAGAGGGAUAGCCCAGAGAAAUUUGGAUUAAUACCUCAUAGUAUAGUGAGUUGGCAUCAACACACUAUUAAAGUCACAACGGUAAAAGAUGAGCAUGCGUCCCAUUAGCUAGUUGGUAAGGUAACGGCUUACCAAGGCAACGAUGGGUAGGGGUCCUGAGA